Molecule: long non-coding RNA, 2969 nt
Organism: Oreochromis aureus
Lineage: Eukaryota; Metazoa; Chordata; Actinopteri; Cichliformes; Cichlidae
Source: Ensembl
GAAAAAUCCUCUGACCUCAUUCAAACAGCAGCCUUUUCAAACAUUUAAUCAAACUGCGACGUGCUGCAUGAGUUUUAGCAGCAGCUGUCAGUCAUCUGCAUCAACCAUCACAAACAGCUGCUGGAUGAAUUUUGUUUCACUGUAAUACCGUUUCAGAAGCAAAAACAAUGUUAUGAAAGAUGCACAGCAGGAAGGCCACUCAAACAAGUUCAAUAAUCAUUUGCUUAUAUUAAAAAAGUAGGUCAGCAUGACUUUCAUCAUAACGCGUCUCAUAACCACAGCUGCAGUCCUUCAGGCUGUCAGAGUGGUCAAGUGUAGUGGUUAUGGCUUCAAUUUAAAAACAUAAAAUAAAAAGUCAAUGGAGCCAAAAUGCAUAUUAAAAACAACGGCUUUGAGACAUUUUGAAUUUGUCUUUUCUCCACACUUUAUAUUAAUAUGAGGGGAAAAUGCCUCUGAAGGGACUUUUAAAUCUAAUUUCUAAAUGUGUGCCACUGCUGCAUAAGACAGUAUUUAAAACAGAAGUUUAAGUCUAACCUUAACCAGGUGUUUGAAGCAUCCAUCCUCCAUCAAACCAGAAUUAUUUGCCAUAAACAGAUUUUUAUUUUAACCAUCUGUCUGACAGGAACUCGCAUAUCCCUCAUACAGAGAGAAGCAGCAGAUUUAGACCUGCUGUAAAAAAGCAGAUUAUAUCUAGGAGUACCUUAAGAAUAGGGUGACCAGGUCAUUUAAAUUUCAUCUCCCUUCUUCCACAUUUUGAGACCAUCUCCACAUAGUUUGUUAAGGUUUACUAAAGUAAGCACGUGUUUCACAGGAAACGUGUCUAGAAAACCUUUCUGCUGAUGUGAGGAUCUAGAAUGAAAUCAAAAGAUAAUUAUCAGACAGAACAGCAGUUCUAACACAAGAAAGAAAAAGGAAAUGCGAGACAAGACCACAGAAAUAAACAUCAGCUUCAUUUUAUGCUUCUCAAAGUCAGGGAAAAUGCAUUCAAAUGACAUGUCACAUGAUCAAAGUCAAACAUGUGACCUAAAACUAAACAUUUUUAUCUUAACGUAGUUUACUGGGAUCUGGUCACCCUACACGAGAACUACUGAUGAUAAACACGAUGUUUAAAAAUUAAAUAUCAAGUUAAUAAUGCUAAAUGAUAAUAUUGUAAAUAAUGGUGUAACUGUUUGUAGUUCAGCGUCUCACUGCACUAUUUUGAUUUUAAUCAACUUCUUUCUUCUAAUUUUUUGCAAAUUUACAGAAUAACUUAAAAUGUCAUUAUUGCUACUUUUUCAUAUAAAUAUUAAAUACUGUUAGAUUUCAUCUCCUCAUUUGUAUAUAAUUUGGGUUUUUGAUGGCGUGAUUUGAACCUUCCUGAUGUUCCAGUCUCUUAUCACAUCUCUGUUGAUAAGAGACUUGUUUCUUUUGGAGAAAAAUCUACAAAUUCAAGAUGUCCCUGUGCCUCCAGAGCAGUGUAAAUAUUCUCGUAAAAGCUAUUCAGCGCUGCAGUGGCGUCACUAUAGUUAAUAAUUAGCAAAGACAUCUGUUUGAAUAGCAAAAUAAUUAUCAUACAUCCUCAUAUGUGGGCGAACAUUUUACUUUACAGCUUUAUGUACAAAAAAACUCCUCAGUUGCUACACUGUGGAAUAAGAAUAGCCCUCCAUUAAAAAAUUAAAAGUUGUAAAAUAUUACUGUUUUUUUUGUUUUUAAAAUACAAAUAUAAAAUUUGCAUGGUUGCCCAACAACCAGAUGUCGCAGGUUAUUCCAACCAGUACAUUUUUUUGUCUUUACAGUUGUCUGCGUAAUAAAAAAGGCAAAAUUCAAAGCAUUUAUAAAACAGCUGUUACAUGAUGGCAGGAAAACACAUCCACAAGCUUGCAAGUCCAUUCAAUGUUCCGAUGAUGUGCAAUGCAAACAUAAAAUAACUGUAUGUGCCGACGUAUGUAUUCUCUUUCAGAAAAAUGAGAACGAGGCGUUUUAAUUUGUUUUCUGAAAAUACAAACUGCCAAGUUGUUAAACCAUUAUUGCUUUUACGUUUUAGAAAAUGUACAGAAAUCUUUGAAAUAUCACAGAUCAUAGUGAUGCAAUCAUAAAAUUCAACAUUUAGCUGGCUUUCCUGAUUUUCAUGUUUAAUCAUUGUGUGCUAUGAAGGAGCUGUUGCUGCAGCUUGACUUUUAAUAUAAAUUUUUAGCUUUAUAUCUAUUUCCACACAAACACUUUUCAUUUUGUUAAUAUGGGCUCUAAAUAAUCUGACAGGUUAACUAACGGUUACACUGACUCACUGCACCAUCUUGUGGUACAAAGUGGUAUUACAUAUAGGGCAGCCAGUCGAGAUCUCUUUAGUCAAAGUGGUUUUUGUUCACAAUGUGUUCGAUAGCUUUAGCUCAUUUUGAAAGGUUUGAGGUAAAACAAGCAAACAAACAAAAAGUCUCAAAAGAAUUUAAACCUCCUAAAAUUAAAUAUAAUGUGAAGAAUCAGCAUCUGUGUAUUAUCCUGAGCAACCGUGACCACUAUUUUACAUACAAAGUUCAUUGUUUGUUAGUCAUUAGAAUGAAUACAUUUUAAAGCACAGCAGUGCCAUUUUUGAAAGCCCCCCAUCCAUCUAUCCAUUUUCUGCCUCCUUUUUGGAACCAGUUCACAGGCCCAGCAGCCUCAGCAGAGUCAUCUAAAACUCCCUGUCACCAGCUCUUCUGGGGAGACAACCAAGUGUUCACAAGCCAGCUGAGAGACAAUCUCUCCAGCGUGUCCUGGUUUGCACUGAGACCUCGUUCCAGCAGGACAUGCCUAACACGCCUCAUCUAGGAGAUGCUCUGGAGGCAUCUUACGCUGAUGAACCACCACAACUGCCUCCUUUCCAUAAAUGUAGAUAAGCAGCUUCAGUUUAACACUCUGUACCACAGCUGACUCCACACAAAUCUGUCUGCCCAGCUCCCGCUCCACUCCACCCUCACUCCUGAACAAGAACACACAAAACCCUCCAAUUCAGG